RNAcentral lists this ribosomal RNA (255 nucleotides) under uncultured bacterium. RNAcentral describes it as "partial 16S ribosomal RNA". It matches the Rfam family "Bacterial small subunit ribosomal RNA", at positions 524 to 775 of the family's 1533-position model. The record is from RNAcentral.
GACAGAGGGUGCAAACGUUGCUCGGAAUUACUGGGCGUAAAGCGCGUGUAGGCGGACCACCAAGUCGGACGUGAAAGCCCUGAGCUCAACUCAGGAACUGCAUCCGAAACUGGCGGUCUGGAGUAGUGGAGAGGAAAGCAGAAUUCCUGGUGUAGCGGUGAAAUGCGCAGAUAUCAGGAGGAACACCGGUGGCGAAGGCGGGUCUCUGGGCCGUAACUGGACGCCUGGAGGAGCGAAAGCAUGGGGAGCGAACAG